GGGCCUCGUUUAGUUCACAUAAAGUGGGAGGAGGAAAGAUAAUUCCUAAGAAGUGAAAAGGAGUCAUCUUCUUUGAUUAAAAUUUUAAUAGAAGAGAAAAAAAAAAUUAUGGACAAAAUAGAUUUUAAGACUUCUCAUAGUAUGUAAAUUGAAUUGUCUUCUUUUUUUUUUUAAUAUUUUUUUCGAUUAAAAUUUUGUAAAAUAUUAAUAGAUAGUUAAGAUGAAAUAUUGAAUAGUGAUAUAUGCCAAAAUCUUCAUUUUAUCCUCCUUGCAAAAUUAAUAUAAUAUUAUAUUAAUAUUAUCUUAAUAUUAAUAUUAAUAUAUUAUAAUAUUUAUACUAAUAUAAAUAUUAUAUUAUACCAAUAUAAAUAUUAAUAUUAUGUUAAUAUCUAUACUAAUAUAUUAUUUUUAUUAAUAUUAAGAUG
Molecule: long non-coding RNA, 425 nt
Filed under: Elaeis guineensis (African oil palm)
Lineage: Eukaryota; Viridiplantae; Streptophyta; Magnoliopsida; Arecales; Arecaceae
Description: long non-coding RNA (EGUI_LNC021857)
Source: RNAcentral